CCUACGGGGAGCAGCAGUCGAGAAUCAUUCACAAUGGGGGAAACCCUGAUGGUGCGACGCCGCGUGGGGGAAUGAAGGUCUUCGGAUUGUAAACCCCUGUCAUGUGGGAGCAAAUUAAAAAGAUAGUACCACACGAGGAAGAGACGGCUAACUCUGUGCCAGCAGCCGCGGUAAUACAGAGGUCUCAAGCGUUGUUCGGAAUCACUGGGCGUAAAGCGUGCGUAGGCUGUUUCGUAAGUCGUGUGUGAAAGGCGCGGGCUCAACCCGCGGACGGCACAUGAUACUGCGAGACUAGAGUAAUGGAGGGGGAACCGGAAUUCUCGGGGUAGCAGUGAAAUGCGUAGAUAUCGAGAGGAACACUCGUGGCGAAGGCGGGUUCCUGGACAUUAACUGACGCUGAGGCACGAAGGCCAGGGGAGCGAAAGGGAUUAGAUACCCUGGUAGUC
This 446-nucleotide ribosomal RNA is filed under the name uncultured bacterium. RNAcentral describes it as "partial 16S ribosomal RNA". It matches the Rfam family "Bacterial small subunit ribosomal RNA", at positions 338 to 795 of the family's 1533-position model. The record is from RNAcentral.